UACUCGAGUGGCGAACGGGUGAGUAACACGUGGGUGAUCUGCCCUGCACUUCGGGAUAAGCCUGGGAAACUGGGUCUAAUACCGGAUAGGAGCCAUUUUUAGUGUGAUGGUUGGAAAGUUUUUUCGGUGUAGGGUGAGCUCGCGGCCUAUCAGCUUGUUGGUGGGGUAAUGGCCUACCAAGGCGGCGACGGGUAGCCGGCCUGAGAGGGUGGACGGCCACAUUGGGACUGAGAUACGGCCCAG
This 243-nucleotide ribosomal RNA is filed under the name uncultured Actinomycetales bacterium. Its description in RNAcentral is "partial 16S ribosomal RNA". It matches the Rfam family "Bacterial small subunit ribosomal RNA", at positions 88 to 334 of the family's 1533-position model. Lineage: Bacteria; Bacillati; Actinomycetota; Actinomycetes; Actinomycetales. The record is from RNAcentral.